This 428-nucleotide ribosomal RNA is filed under the name uncultured bacterium. RNAcentral's name for it is "partial 16S ribosomal RNA". It matches the Rfam family "Bacterial small subunit ribosomal RNA", at positions 354 to 796 of the family's 1533-position model. The record is from RNAcentral.
GUAGGGAAUAUUGCGCAAUGGACGAAAGUCUGACGCAGCGACGCCGCGUGAGUGAUGAAGGCCUUAGGGUCGUAAAGCUCUGUUGAAUGGGAAGAAAAAAAUGACGGUACCAUUCGAGGAAGGACCGGCUAACUUCGUGCCAGCAGCCGCGGUAAUACGAGGGGUCCUAGCGUUGUUCGGUAUCAUUGGGCGUAAAGGGUGUGUAGGUGUCAAUGUAAGUCAGGUGUGAAAGCCCCGGGCUCAAACCGGGAAGUGCACUUGAUACUGCGUGGCUUGAGUACCGAAGAGGGUAGUGGAAUUCCAGGUGUAGUGGUGAAAUACGUAGAUAUCUGGAGGAACACCGGUGGCGAAGGCGGCUACCUGGUCGAGUACUGACACUGAGACACGAAAGCAUGGGGAUCAAACAGGAUUAGAAACCCUGGUAGUCC